This 253-nucleotide ribosomal RNA is filed under the name uncultured bacterium. Its description in RNAcentral is "partial 16S ribosomal RNA". It matches the Rfam family "Bacterial small subunit ribosomal RNA", at positions 524 to 776 of the family's 1533-position model. The record is from RNAcentral.
UACGUAGGGUGCAAGCGUUAAUCGGAAUUACUGGGCGUAAAGCGUGCGCAGGCGGCUUUGCAAGACAGAUGUGAAAUCCCCGGGCUUAACCUGGGAACUGCAUUUGUGACUGCAUGGCUAGAGUGCGGCAGAGGGGGAUGGAAUUCCGCGUGUAGCAGUGAAAUGCGUAGAUAUGCGGAGGAACACCGGUGGCGAAGGCGGGUCUCUGGGCCGUAACUGACGCUGAGGAGCGAAAGCGUGGGGAGCGAACAGG